This 253-nucleotide ribosomal RNA is filed under the name uncultured bacterium. RNAcentral describes it as "partial 16S ribosomal RNA". It matches the Rfam family "Bacterial small subunit ribosomal RNA", at positions 524 to 776 of the family's 1533-position model. The record is from RNAcentral.
UACGUAGGGAGCAAGCGUUGUCCGGAAUCAUUGGGCGUAAAGCGCGCGUAGGUGGCUUCGUAAGUCCGUUGUGAAAGUCAAAGGCUCAACCUUUGAAAGCCGAUGGAUACUGCGGAGCUAGAGUACGGAAGAGGCGAGUGGAAUUCCUGGUGUAGCGGUGGAAUGCGUAGAGAUCGGGAGGAACACCAGAGGCGAAGGCGGCGACCUGGACAAGUACUGACACUCAACUACGAAAGCGUGGGGAGCAAACAGG